Molecule: unclassified non-coding RNA, 179 nt
Filed under: uncultured Helotiales
Lineage: Eukaryota; Fungi; Ascomycota; Leotiomycetes; Helotiales
Description: sequence contains ITS1
Source: RNAcentral
CAAGGUUUCUUGGUGCAUCGCCUGCGAGGGCGCUCUCCCGAGGAUUCCCACCCGUGUCUACAUACUCUUGUUGCUUUGGCGGGCCGUGGCCCUCCACUGCGGGCUCUGUAGCUCGUACGUGCCCGCCAGAGGAUCAAACUCUGAAUGUUUAGUGAUGUCUGAGUACUAUAUAAUAGUUA